This 84-nucleotide small RNA is filed under the name Flavobacterium circumlabens. RNAcentral's name for it is "Flavo-1 RNA". It matches the Rfam family "Flavo-1 RNA". The record is from RNAcentral. Lineage: Bacteria; Pseudomonadati; Bacteroidota; Flavobacteriia; Flavobacteriales; Flavobacteriaceae.
UCGUGGCUGCGUUAGGGAUAGGAACGGCAUCCUUUUGUUUUUUUCUUUAAAAAACAAAAGAUAAAGUGGAUAGCCCGACCGAAG